RNAcentral lists this transfer RNA (72 nucleotides) under Paulasterias sp. SS-2022. RNAcentral's name for it is "tRNA-Leu". It matches the Rfam family "tRNA". Rfam says of the family: Transfer RNA (tRNA) molecules are approximately 80 nucleotides in length. Their secondary structure includes four short double-helical elements and three loops (D, anti-codon, and T loops). The record is from RNAcentral. Lineage: Eukaryota; Metazoa; Echinodermata; Asteroidea; Forcipulatida; Paulasteriidae.
GUUUAAGUAGCAAAAUGGCUAAUGCUUAAGAUUUAGGAUCUUAUAACAAGGGUUCAAUUCCCUACUUAAGUU